This 219-nucleotide ribosomal RNA is filed under the name Triticum aestivum (bread wheat). Its description in RNAcentral is "partial small subunit ribosomal RNA". The record is from RNAcentral. Lineage: Eukaryota; Viridiplantae; Streptophyta; Magnoliopsida; Poales; Poaceae.
AUGAGGUUUGCAAUGGCGAACAGGGCAUACAUGGCGGUGACGCUGGGCGCGGCCAUGGAGCUCAAGGAGCAGGUGGCCAAGCCGUGCUCGGCGGCGGCGAAGCGGGGCCUGCCGGUGGUGGCUGUCCGGUCGUCGGCCGUCAAGGUCGACGGCGUCCCGGUUGCCGCCGAGGAGUCGCUGAGGAUGGUCAUGUAUCUCAGCUGUUGGGGCCCAUGUUAG